Molecule: ribosomal RNA, 402 nt
Filed under: uncultured bacterium
Lineage: Bacteria
Description: bacterial SSU rRNA
Rfam family: Bacterial small subunit ribosomal RNA
Source: RNAcentral
AGUAAUAUAUCGGAACGUGCCCAGUCGUGGGGGAUACGUAAGCUAAAGCUACGCUAAUACCGCAUACGAUCUAUGGAUGAAANCGGGGGAUCGCAAGACCUCGCGCGAUUGGAGCGGCCGAUAUCAGAUUAGGUAGUUGGUGAGGUAAAGGCUCACCAAGCCGACGAUCUGUAGCUGGUCUGAGAGGACGACCAGCCACACUGGGACUGAGACACGGCCCAGACUCCUACGGGAGGCAGCAGUGGGGAAUUUUGGACAAUGGGCGCAAGCCUGAUCCAGCAAUGCCGCGUGCAGGAUGAAGGCCUUCGGGUUGUAAACUGCUUUUGUACGGAACGAAACGGUGAGCUCUAAUACAGUUUGCUAAUGACGGUACCGUAAGAAUAAGCACCGGCUAACUACGUG